Molecule: ribosomal RNA, 429 nt
Filed under: Acidobacteriota bacterium
Lineage: Bacteria; Pseudomonadati; Acidobacteriota
Description: Acidobacteria bacterium partial 16S ribosomal RNA
Rfam family: Bacterial small subunit ribosomal RNA
Source: RNAcentral
UGGGGAAUUUUGGACAAUGGGGGAAACCCUGAUCCAGCCAUCCCGCGUGUGCGAUGAAGGCCUUCGGGUUGUAAAGCACUUUUGGCAGGAAAGAAACGUCAUGGGUUAAUACCCCGUGAAACUGACGGUACCUGCAGAAUAAGCACCGGCUAACUACGUGCCAGCAGCCGCGGUAAUACGUAGGGUGCAAGCGUUAAUCGGAAUUACUGGGCGUAAAGCGUGCGCAGGCGGUUCGGAAAGAAAGAUGUGAAAUCCCAGAGCUCAACUUUGGAACUGCAUUUUUAACUACCGGGCUAGAGUGUGUCAGAGGGAGGUGGAAUUCCGCGUGUGGCAGUGAAAUGCGUAGAUAUGCGGAGGAACACCGAUGGCGAAGGCAGCCUCCUGGGAUAACACUGACGCUCAUGCAUGAAAGCGUGGGGAGCAAACAGG